UGCGAGUCAUUGUAGUAAUACAAGGCAGACGGCUCAGUAACGCGUAGUCAACCUAACCUAUGGACGGGAAUAACCUCGGGAAACUGAGUAUAAUGCCCGAUAGAACAUUAUACCUGGAAUGGUUUAUGUUCCAAAUGAUUUAUCGCCGUAGGAUGGGACUGCGGCCUAUCAGUUUGUUGGUGAGGUAAUGGCCCACCAAGACUAUUACAGGUACGGGCUCUGAGAGGAGUAGCCCGGAGAUGGGUACUGAGACACGGACCCAGGCCCUAUGGGGCGCAGCAGGCGAGAAAACUUUGCAAUGUGCGAAAGCACGACAAGGUUAAUCCGAGUGGUUUCUGCUAAAGGAACCUUUUGUCGGUCCUAGAAACACCGAUGAAUAAGGGGUGGGCAAGUUCUGGUGUCAGCCGCCGCGGUAAAACCAGCACCUCAAGUGGUCAGGAUGAUUAUUGGGCCUAAAGCAUCCGUAGCCGGCUCUGUAAGUUUUCGGUUAAAUCUGUACGCUUAACGUACAGGCUGCCGGGAAUACUGCAGAGCUAGGGAGUGGGAGAGGUAGACGGUACUCGGUAGGAAGGGGUAAAAUCCUUUGAUCUAUUGAUGACCACCUGUGGCGAAGGCGGUCUACCAGAACACGUCCGACGGUGAGGGAUGAAAGCUGGGGGAGCAAACCGGAUUAGAUACCCGGGUAGUCCCAGCUGUAAACUAUGCAAACUCAGUGAUGCAUUGGCUUGUGGCCAAUGCAGUGCUGCAGGGAGCCGUUAAGUUUGCCGCCUGGAAGUACGUACGCAAGUAUGAA
This 793-nucleotide ribosomal RNA is filed under the name uncultured crenarchaeote. RNAcentral's name for it is "bacterial SSU rRNA". It matches the Rfam family "Archaeal small subunit ribosomal RNA", at positions 52 to 853 of the family's 1478-position model. The record is from RNAcentral. Lineage: Archaea; Thermoproteati; Thermoproteota.